RNAcentral lists this ribosomal RNA (439 nucleotides) under uncultured Eubacteriales bacterium. RNAcentral describes it as "bacterial SSU rRNA". It matches the Rfam family "Bacterial small subunit ribosomal RNA", at positions 338 to 795 of the family's 1533-position model. Lineage: Bacteria; Bacillati; Bacillota; Clostridia; Eubacteriales. The record is from RNAcentral.
CCUACGGGAGGCAGCAGUGGGGAAUAUUGCACAAUGGGGGGAACCCUGAUGCAGCAACGCCGCGUGAGCGAAGAAGGCCUUCGGGUCGUAAAGCUCUGUCCUAAGGGAAGAUAAUGACGGUACCUUAGGAGGAAGCCCCGGCUAACUACGUGCCAGCAGCCGCGGUAACACGUAGGGGGCAAGCGUUAUCCGGAAUUAUUGGGCGUAAAGGGUGCGUAGGCGGCCUUGUGGGUCAGAGGUUAAAUACUACGGCUUAACCGUAGUCCGCCUUUGAAACUAUAGGGCUUGAGUGCAGGAGAGGAGAGUGGAAUUCCUAGUGUAGCGGUGAAAUGCGUAGAUAUUAGGAGGAAUACCAGUGGCGAAGGCGGCUCUCUAGACUGCAACUGACGCUGAGGCACGAAAGCGUGGGUAGCGAACAGGAUUAGAUACCCUGGUAGUC